GUGACUGCAUCCGGACCUUGAGUUCUUUGGCUCUUGUGUGAGUGGAUGGUGACACCAGGCCAGCUGGGGAUUCUUCCCAGGCUGGGCUCACAGGCUGGGGCUGGGCACACGGAGCAGCUGCGGGAAAAGGAUCUGGACACCAGCCCCCCAGCGUGUCACCGGCAGGAAGGUGAGGUGGGAACAGAGUGACGUCCAUGCAUGUUCAGGACUAAGCCAGUGGAUCACAAACAUCCUGGAGAGCAGUGACUCUGUGAUUCCAUCACAAGAAUAUGAAGGACUGAGAAGAUCUCCAGCUCUGCCCAUUGCACCUUCCCAUUGAGAAGCAGCAUGGCACCCUGGUGGCAGGGGCUGAUACUCAGCCGGGCCAGGGUGCUCUCCUGUUAACCAUAACCAAGCUCACAGGACAUGGGAUGAGCCCACUGUGUGACACAGGGAGCGGGACACAGUCUGUUAAGUCUUGCACAGCCAUGCUCUGCCACGCAGGCAGGCCUUUCCUUGGCCUCCCUCUCCCUGUUCGUGCUCAUGUGAACAUCCACCUACGUGGAUAGACUGGGCUUUGGUUCAUUAUUGCUCUGUGAAUUCCUCGAACUUCCGCAUCUGCCCAACCUCCCCCACCCCAUUGUUUUCAUUGUGUUUCACCAAAUGGAAAUUCUAGAGUAAGCAUGUGAGUCCUCUCCCAAACUUGUUCACUGUUGAGAGUGCUAAAAUGCUAACCCCAGAUGCUAACUGAGGGGUAGGGUUACCUUAUCUUUAGAGCACUGCGAAUUGUAUGUUAAGUGGAACUUAAUGAAAAAAUAGUUAAUUGACCAACAUGAAUAUCCCCUGAACAGAAUCUCCCCUGAACAGAAUCCUACAAUGAAACUAAGGGAGAUAAAUAAAGCUGUUUACCUGAAAGCUCUCUCUAAUCAAGAUCCUUUGAAAUUUAUAAAACAUGGUCAAUAUUUGCACUGGACUUUGUAAAAAUAAAGCUUGAUAAGAGAAGAGUUUGAAGUGAAA
RNAcentral lists this long non-coding RNA (996 nucleotides) under Homo sapiens (human). Its description in RNAcentral is "long intergenic non-protein coding RNA 3082". Lineage: Eukaryota; Metazoa; Chordata; Mammalia; Primates; Hominidae. The record is from RNAcentral.